UGGGGAAUCUUCCGCAAUGGACGAAAGUCUGACGGAGCAACGCCGCGUGUAUGACGAAGGCCUUCGGGUUGUAAAGUACUGUCUUUGGGGACGAACGGUAUCUAUGUAAAUAAUGUAGAUACAUGACGGUACCCAAGGAGGAAGCCCCGGCUAACUACGUGCCAGCAGCCGCGGUAAUACGUAGGGGGCGAGCGUUGGUCCGGAAUCAUUGGGCGUAAAGGGCGCGUAGGCGGGUCAUUAAGUCUGGUGUGAAAGGCAGGGCUCAACCCCUGGAAGGCACCGGAAACUGGUUAUCUUGAGGACAGGAGAGGAAAGCGGAAUUCCACGUGUAGCGGUGAAAUGCGUAGAUAUGUGGAGGAACACCAGUGGCGAAGGCGGCUUUCUGGACUGUAACUGACGCUGAGGCGCGAAAGCGUGGGGAGCAAACAGGAUUAGAUACCCUGGUAGUCCACGCCGUAAACGAUG
This 465-nucleotide ribosomal RNA is filed under the name uncultured bacterium. RNAcentral's name for it is "partial 16S ribosomal RNA". It matches the Rfam family "Bacterial small subunit ribosomal RNA", at positions 355 to 811 of the family's 1533-position model. The record is from RNAcentral.